This 69-nucleotide transfer RNA is filed under the name Rattus norvegicus (Norway rat). It matches the Rfam family "tRNA". Rfam says of the family: Transfer RNA (tRNA) molecules are approximately 80 nucleotides in length. Their secondary structure includes four short double-helical elements and three loops (D, anti-codon, and T loops). Lineage: Eukaryota; Metazoa; Chordata; Mammalia; Rodentia; Muridae. The record is from Rfam by way of RNAcentral.
GGGGAUUUAGCUCAUUGGUAGAGCGCUUGCCUAGCAAGUACAAGGCCCUGGGUUCGGUCCCCAGCUCCG